Non-coding RNA from Pseudomonas sp. ABAC61, 221 nucleotides. The record is from Rfam. NCBI's taxonomy places the organism in Bacteria, Pseudomonadati, Pseudomonadota, Gammaproteobacteria, Pseudomonadales, Pseudomonadaceae.
CCGAGGCGCGGGCUUCAACCCGCGUCCUGGCUCUAACCUGAGCAGCAGCUCACAAAGUGGCUGCUCUAUAUUUUUGAAGAAAUGAGACAAGCAGGGGCAUCCGGGCUGGUACCCGGACUAUCAGCGUGAUCCUAGGUGGCUUGUUUUGGUCGCUGCAUUCGGACUUCUGCAAGCUUGCUCGGUGUCGUCGCCGGUGGUGUUCCCCUAACCGAGGGUGACCA